GACGAACGCUGGCGGCGUGCUUAACACAUGCAAGUCGAACGAAGAGCGAUGGAAGCUUGCUUCUAUCAAUCUUAGUGGCGAACGGGUGAGUAACGCGUAAUCAACCUGCCCUUCAGAGGGGGACAACAGUUGGAAACGACUGCUAAUACCGCAUACGAUCUAAUCUCGGCAUCGAGGAUGGAUGAAAGGUGGCCUCUACAUGUAAGCUCUCACUGAAGGAGGGGAUUGCGUCUGAUUAGCUAGUUGGAGGGGUAACGGCCCACCAAGGCGAUGAUCAGUAGCCGGUCUGAGAGGAUGAACGGCCACAUUGGGACUGAGACACGGCCCAGACUCCUACGGGAGGCAGCAGUGGGGAAUCUUCCGCAAUGGACGAAAGUCUGACGGAGCAACGCCGCGUGAGUGAUGACGGCCUUCGGGUUGUAAAGCUCUGUUAAUCGGGACGAAAGGCCUUCUUGCGAAUAGUGAGAAGGAUUGACGGUACCGGAAUAGAAAGCCACGGCUAACUACGUG
Molecule: ribosomal RNA, 510 nt
Filed under: uncultured bacterium
Lineage: Bacteria
Description: partial 16S ribosomal RNA
Rfam family: Bacterial small subunit ribosomal RNA
Source: RNAcentral